GGGAGGUAGUGACAAGAAAUAACAAUACGGGGCUUAAAGUCUUGUAAUUGGAAUGAUGGGAAUUUAAACCUCUUCCAGAGUAUCAAUUGGAGGGCAAGUCUGGUGCCAGCAGCCGCGGUAAUUCCAGCUCCAAUAGCGUAUAUUAAAAUUGUUGCAGUUAAAAAGCUCGUAGUUGAAUUUCUGCUGCAUUGCUUGUGUCCCUCUGGGGUCUGUGCAUGUGGCUUUUUUCGGUCGGAGUUUCUUUGUCCGAAUGUUUACUUUGAGAAAAUUAGAGUGCUCAAAGCAGGCUUUCGCCUUGAAUAGUUUAGCAUGGAAUAAUAAAGUAGGACUUUGGUUCUAUUUUGUUGGUUUUAGGUACCAAAGUAAUGGUUAAUAGGAACAGUUGGGGGCUUUCGUAUUUAACUGUCAGAG
RNAcentral lists this ribosomal RNA (411 nucleotides) under Theileria annulata. RNAcentral's name for it is "SSU rRNA". It matches the Rfam family "Eukaryotic small subunit ribosomal RNA", at positions 459 to 910 of the family's 1831-position model. Lineage: Eukaryota; Apicomplexa; Aconoidasida; Piroplasmida; Theileriidae. The record is from RNAcentral.